GUCCUGUUAGUACAAUUGGCAAGUACAUUUGUCUUCGAACAAAAUAUUGGGGUUCAAAUCCCCAGCAGGACA
RNAcentral lists this transfer RNA (72 nucleotides) under Mytilus galloprovincialis (Mediterranean mussel). It matches the Rfam family "tRNA". Rfam says of the family: Transfer RNA (tRNA) molecules are approximately 80 nucleotides in length. Their secondary structure includes four short double-helical elements and three loops (D, anti-codon, and T loops). The record is from Rfam by way of RNAcentral. Lineage: Eukaryota; Metazoa; Mollusca; Bivalvia; Mytilida; Mytilidae.